Molecule: ribosomal RNA, 1381 nt
Filed under: uncultured Ruminococcus sp.
Lineage: Bacteria; Bacillati; Bacillota; Clostridia; Eubacteriales; Oscillospiraceae
Description: bacterial LSU rRNA
Rfam family: Bacterial large subunit ribosomal RNA
Source: RNAcentral
GAACCGCGUACUUUUUGUAGAACGGUCCGGCGAGUUACGCUGGCUGGCGAGGUUAAGGGCUGAAGGCCUGGAGCCGAAGGGAAACCGAGUCUGAACAGGGCGAAAUAGUCAGUCGGAGUAGACCCGAAACCGGGUGAUCUAUCCAUGUCCAGGUUGAAGUUGCCGUAAAAGGCAAUGGAGGACCGAACCCACAUCCGUUGAAAAGGGUGGGGAUGAGGUGUGGAUAGGGGAGAAAUUCCAAUCGAACCCGGAGAUAGCUGGUUCUCCUCGAAAUAGCUUUAGGGCUAGCCUCAUGCAAGUCUUACGGAGGUAGAGCACUGAAUUCCUAAGGGGGCGUCAAAGCUUACCAAGGGAUAUCAAACUCCGAAUGCCGUGUAGAUGGUGCAUGGGAGUCAGACUAUCCGAGAUAAGUUGGGUAGUCAAAAGGGAAAGAGCCCAGACCUACAGCUAAGGUCCCAAAAUGUGUGUUAAGUGGAAAAGGAUGUGGGAUUUCGAAGACAACUAGGAUGUUGGCUUAGAAGCAGCCAUCCAUUAAAAGAGUGCGUAAUAGCUCACUAGUCGAGAGGUCCUGCGCCGAAAAUGUCCGGGGCUGAAACACACUACCGAAGCUUGGGAAUUGACGAAUGUUAAUUGGUAGAGGAGCAUUCUUAACGGGGCGAAGCUGUACCGGAAGGAGCAGUGGACUGUUAAGAAGAGAGAAUGCCGGAAUGAGUAGCGAGAGGAAGGUGAGAAUCCUUCCGGCCGAAUAUCUAAGGUUUCCAGAGUAAAGCUGAUCUGCUCUGGGUAAGUCGGGGCCUAAGGCGAGGUCGAAAGACGUAGUCGAUGGAUAACAGGUAAAGAUUCCUGUACUAUAUCAUAACAGAACUGUGGGGACGCAGACAGAGAGCAUAAGCCGGGAAUGGAAAGACCGGUACAAGCGAGGUAGGAGUGCAUCAGGCAAAUCCGGUGCACAAUCUGAAGACGUGAUGUGGGGCGUAAAGCCGGAAGUAUGUGAGCUGGCUGCCAAGAAAAGCCGCUAUUGUUUAUGAUAUACCCGUACCGUAAACCGACACAGGUGGAUGAGGAGAGAAUCCUAAGGCCGACGGGAGAAGCAUUGUUAAGGAACUCGGCAAAAUGACUCCGUAACUUCGGGAGAAGGAGUGCCAUGUAAAAGUGGCCGCAGAGAAUUGGCCCAAGCAACUGUUUAGCAAAAACACAGGUCUAUGCAAAACCGAAAGGUGAGGUAUAUGGGCUGACGCCUGCCCGGUGCUGGAAGGUUAAGGGGAGAGGUUAGUCGUAAGGCGAAGCUUUGAACUUAAGCCCCAGUAAACGGCGGCCGUAACUAUAACGGUCCUAAGGUAGCGAAAUUCCUUGUCGGGUAAGUUCCGACCCGCACGAAAGG